Unclassified non-coding RNA from Fukomys damarensis (Damara mole-rat), 310 nucleotides. Its record names the gene 7SK. It matches the Rfam family "7SK RNA". From Rfam's summary of the family: 7SK was discovered as an abundant small nuclear RNA in the mid-70s but a possible function has only recently been suggested. Two independent studies have found that 7SK RNA binds the CDK9/cyclin T complex (known as elongation factor P-TEFb). The record is from Ensembl. Lineage: Eukaryota; Metazoa; Chordata; Mammalia; Rodentia; Bathyergidae.
GGAUGUGAGGGUGGCCUGACUGCAGCAUCUGUCACCCCACUGAUUGCCUGAGUUGAUUCAACUGAUCUGGCUGGCUAAGCAGCUGUCCCCUUCCCCCUCACCAUUCCAUGUGCAACCCUCUUGAAGCUGUCAAAGAGGAUGACCAUUCCCUAUAGAGGAGGACCAAGGACUGUUCCUCCAUCAAGGGUAUGCAGAUAUCUGCACUUCCCUGCUAUAAUCUCCAAACACGGUCUCUAAUAUAAUCUGUAGACUAUGAGUGAUCAAGAUACACCAAUGUUGGUUCAUCUGCUGUAACAAAUAUAGUCGCACC